Molecule: non-coding RNA, 96 nt
Organism: Acanthosepion pharaonis
Lineage: Eukaryota; Metazoa; Mollusca; Cephalopoda; Sepiida; Sepiidae
Source: the annotation of a GenBank genome assembly
CACGUUCAAACCCCGGUUCCCAUAAGAUCACCAAGGUUAAGCAAUGCCGAGCCUGGUCAAUACCUAGAUGGGUGACGGCUUGGAAAUACCAGGUGC